Molecule: small nuclear RNA, 101 nt
Filed under: Loxodonta africana (African savanna elephant)
Lineage: Eukaryota; Metazoa; Chordata; Mammalia; Proboscidea; Elephantidae
Source: RNAcentral
GUCCUUGCAGUGGCAGCACAUGUACUAAAAUUGGAAUGAUACAGAGAAGAUUAGCAUAGCCCCUGUGCAAUCUGCACAAGGAUGACAUUGAGACCACUACU